Molecule: ribosomal RNA, 468 nt
Filed under: uncultured bacterium
Lineage: Bacteria
Description: partial 16S ribosomal RNA
Rfam family: Bacterial small subunit ribosomal RNA
Source: RNAcentral
GACGAACGCUGGCGGCGUGCUUAACACAUGCAAGUCGAACGGAAAGGCCCUGCUUUUGUGGGGUGCUCGAGUGGCGAACGGGUGAGUAACACGUGAGUAACAUGCCCUUGACUUUGGGAUAACUUCAGGAAAAUGGGGCUAAUACCGGAUAGGAGCUCCUGCUGCAUGGUGUGGGUUGGAAAGUUUCGGCGGUUGGGGAUGGACUCGCGGCUUAUCAGCUUGUUGAGCGGGUAGUGGCUUACCAAGGCUUUGACGGGUAGCCGGCCUGAGAGGUUGACCGGCCACCUUACGACUGAGAUACGGCCCAGACUCCUACGGGAGGCAGCAGUGGGGAAUCUUGCACAACGGCGGGAAGCCUGAUGCAGCAACGCCGCGUGCGUGAUGACGUCUUUCGGGUUGUAAACCGCUUUCGCCUGUGACGAAGCGUGAGUGACGGUAAUGGGUAAAGAAGCACCGGCUAACUACGUG